AGAGUUUGAUCCUGGCUCAGAACGAACGCUGGCGGCAGGCUUAACACAUGCAAGUCGAACGCACCGCAAGGUGAGUGGCAGACGGGUGAGUAACGCGUGGGAACGUGCCCUUCAGUUCGGGAUAACCCAGGGAAACUUGGGCUAAUACCGGAUACGUGCGAGAGCAGAAAGAUUCAUCGCUGAAGGAUCGGCCCGCGUCUGAUUAGCUAGUUGGUGAGGUAAAGGCUCACCAAGGCGGCGAUCAGUAGCUGGUCUGAGAGGAUGAUCAGCCACACUGGGACUGAGACACGGCCCAGACUCCUACGGGAGGCAGCAGUGGGGAAUUUUCCGCAAUGGGCGAAAGCCUGACGGAGCAAGACCGCGUGAGGGAGGAAGGCUCUUGGGUUGUAAACCUCUUUUGUCAGGGAAGAACACAAUGACGGUACCUGAAGAAUCAGCAUCGGCUAACUCCGUGCCAGCAGCCGCGGUAAUACGGAGGAUGCAAGCGUUAUCCGGAAUUAUUGGGCGUAAAGCGUCCGCAGGUGGCACUUCAAGUCUGCUGUCAAAGACCGGGGCUUAACCCUGGAAAGGCAGUGGAAACUGAAGCGCUAGAGUGUGGCAGGGGUAGAGGGAAUUCCCGGUGUAGCGGUGAAAUGCGUAGAGAUCGGGAAGAACAUCGGUGCGAAAGCGCUCUACUGGGCCACAACUGACACUCAGGGACGAAAGCUAGGGGAGCGAAUGGGAUUAGAUACCCUAGUAGUCC
Molecule: ribosomal RNA, 742 nt
Filed under: uncultured bacterium
Lineage: Bacteria
Description: bacterial SSU rRNA
Rfam family: Bacterial small subunit ribosomal RNA
Source: RNAcentral